RNAcentral lists this ribosomal RNA (443 nucleotides) under uncultured bacterium. RNAcentral's name for it is "partial 16S ribosomal RNA". It matches the Rfam family "Bacterial small subunit ribosomal RNA", at positions 338 to 795 of the family's 1533-position model. The record is from RNAcentral.
CCUACGGGUGGCAGCAGUGGGGAAUAUUGGGCAAUGGGCGCAAGCCUGACCCAGCAACGCCGCGUGAAGGAAGAAGGCUUUCGGGUUGUAAACUUCUUUUCUCAGGGACGAAGCAAGUGACGGUACCUGAGGAAUAAGCCACGGCUAACUACGUGCCAGCAGCCGCGGUAAUACGUAGGUGGCAAGCGUUAUCCGGAUUUACUGGGUGUAAAGGGCGUGUAGGCGGGAAAGCAAGUCAGAUGUGAAAACCACGGGCUCAACCUGUGGCCUGCAUUUGAAACUGUUUUUCUUGAGUACUGGAGAGGCAGACGGAAUUCCUAGUGUAGCGGUGAAAUGCGUAGAUAUGACGAAGAACCCCGAUUGCGAAGGCAGCUUGCUGCAGCGGAACUGACGCUGAUGCUCGAAAGCGCGGGUAUCGAACAGGAUUAGAUACCCGAGUAGUC